RNAcentral lists this ribosomal RNA (164 nucleotides) under Poa attalica. Its description in RNAcentral is "5.8S ribosomal RNA". It matches the Rfam family "5.8S ribosomal RNA". From Rfam's summary of the family: 5.8S ribosomal RNA (5.8S rRNA) is a component of the large subunit of the eukaryotic ribosome. It is transcribed by RNA polymerase I as part of the 45S precursor that also contains 18S and 28S rRNA. The record is from RNAcentral. Lineage: Eukaryota; Viridiplantae; Streptophyta; Magnoliopsida; Poales; Poaceae.
GACACGACUCUCGGCAACGGAUAUCUCGGCUCUCGCAUCGAUGAAGAACGUAGCGAAAUGCGAUACCUGGUGUGAAUUGCAGAAUCCCGCGAACCAUCGAGUCUUUGAACGCAAGUUGCGCCCGAGGCCACUUGGCCGAGGGCACGCCUGCCUGGGCGUCACGC